RNAcentral lists this ribosomal RNA (254 nucleotides) under uncultured bacterium. RNAcentral's name for it is "partial 16S ribosomal RNA". It matches the Rfam family "Bacterial small subunit ribosomal RNA", at positions 524 to 776 of the family's 1533-position model. The record is from RNAcentral.
UACGUAGGGGGCGAGCGUUAUCCAGAUUUACUGGGCGUAAAGCGCGUGUAGGCGGCUGGUUAGGUGUGAUGUGAAAUCCUCGGGCUCAACCCGAGAACUGCAUUGCAAACCGGCCUGGCUAGAGUGCAGGAGAGGGAAGCGGAAUUCCAGGUGUAGCGGUGAAAUGCGUAGAUAUCUGGAGGAACACCGGUGGCGAAGGCGGCAUCCUGGACCAUUACUGACACUGAAUAGCGAAAGCCAGGGGAGCAAACGGG